GUACGGGAGGCAGCAGUGGGGAAUGUUGGUCAAUGGGCGCAAGCCUGAACCAGCCAUCCCGCGUGAAGGAUGAAUGUACUAUGUAUUGUAAACUUCUUUUCUGUGCCAAGAACGGCCCCUACGUGUAGGGGUGUGACGGUAGUACAGGAAUAAGCAUCGGCUAACUCCGUGCCAACAGCCGCGGUAAUACGGAGGAUGCGAGCGUUAUCCGGAUUCAUUGGGUUUAAAGGGUGCGUAGGCGGUUUUUUAAGUCAGUGGUGAAAUCCUGCGGCUCAACCGUAGAACUGCCAUUGAUACUGAAGAACUUGAAUUUAGUUGAGGUAGGCGGAAUGAGUAGUGUAGCGGUGAAAUGCUUAGAUAUUACUCAGAACACCGAUUGCGAAGGCAGCUUACCAAGCUACGAUUGACGCUGAUGCACGAAAGCGUGGGGAUCGAACAGGAUUAGAUACCCCCGUAC
This 457-nucleotide ribosomal RNA is filed under the name uncultured bacterium. RNAcentral's name for it is "bacterial SSU rRNA". It matches the Rfam family "Bacterial small subunit ribosomal RNA", at positions 339 to 793 of the family's 1533-position model. The record is from RNAcentral.